CCUGUGAACAUACCUAUAACGUUGCCUCGGCGGGAACAGACGGCCCCGUAACACGGGCCGCCCCCGCCAGAGGACCCCCUAACUCUGUUUCUAUAAUGUUUCUUCUGAGUAAACAAGCAAAUAAAUUAAAACUUUCAACAACGGAUCUCUUGGCUCUGGCAUCGAUGAAGAACGCAGCGAAAUGCGAUAAGUAAUGUGAAUUGCAGAAUUCAGUGAAUCAUCGAAUCUUUGAACGCACAUUGCGCCCGCCAGUAUUCUGGCGGGCAUGCCUGUUCGAGCGUCAUUACAACCCUCAGGCCCCCGGGCCUGGCGUUGGGGAUCGGCGGAAGCCCCCUGCGGGCACAACGCCGUCCCCCAAAUACAGUGGCGGUCCCGCCGCAGCUUCCAUUGCGUAGUAGCUAACACCUCGCAACUGGAGAGCGGCGCGGCCACGCCGUAAAACACCCAACUUCUGAAUGUUGACCUCGAAUCAGGUAGGAAUACCCGCUGAACUUAAGCAUAUCAAUAAGCGG
Molecule: ribosomal RNA, 512 nt
Filed under: Fusarium solani
Lineage: Eukaryota; Fungi; Ascomycota; Sordariomycetes; Hypocreales; Nectriaceae
Description: eukaryotic LSU rRNA
Rfam family: 5.8S ribosomal RNA (bases 130-283)
Source: RNAcentral